UGGGGAAUCUUGCGCAAUGGGCGAAAGCCUGACGCAGCGACGCCGCGUGGGUGAUGAGGGCCUUCGGGUUGUAAAGCCCUGUGGGGAGAGACGAAUAAGUCGGAGCCAACACCUCCGGCGAUGACGGUAUCUCCUUAGCAAGCACCGGCUAACUCUGUG
Molecule: ribosomal RNA, 159 nt
Filed under: uncultured bacterium
Lineage: Bacteria
Description: partial 16S ribosomal RNA
Rfam family: Bacterial small subunit ribosomal RNA
Source: RNAcentral